This 430-nucleotide ribosomal RNA is filed under the name Fusobacteriota bacterium. RNAcentral's name for it is "Fusobacteria bacterium partial 16S ribosomal RNA". It matches the Rfam family "Bacterial small subunit ribosomal RNA", at positions 355 to 776 of the family's 1533-position model. The record is from RNAcentral. Lineage: Bacteria; Fusobacteriati; Fusobacteriota.
UAGGGAAUCUUCGGCAAUGGACGAAAGUCUGACCGAGCAACGCCGCGUGAGUGAAGAAGGUUUUCGGAUCGUAAAACUCUGUUGUUAGAGAAGAACAAGGAUGAGAGUAGAAUGUUCAUCCCUUGACGGUAUCUAACCAGAAAGCCACGGCUAACUACGUGCCAGCAGCCGCGGUAAUACGUAGGUGGCAAGCGUUGUCCGGAUUUAUUGGGCGUAAAGCGAGCGCAGGCGGUUUCUUAAGUCUGAUGUGAAAGCCCCCGGCUCAACCGGGGAGGGUCAUUGGAAACUGGGAAACUUGAGUGCAGAAGAGGAGAGUGGAAUUCCAUGUGUAGCGGUGAAAUGCGUAGAUAUAUGGAGGAACACCAGUGGCGAAGGCGGCUCUCUGGUCUGUAACUGACGCUGAGGCUCGAAAGCGUGGGGAGCGAACAGG